GGGGACGUAGCUCAACGGAGAGCGCCUGCUUUGCACGCAGGGGGUUGGGGGUUCAAAUCCCUUCGUCUCCA
Molecule: transfer RNA, 71 nt
Filed under: Deltaproteobacteria bacterium
Lineage: Bacteria; Pseudomonadati; Myxococcota; Myxococcia
Also listed under: 1 other name
Description: tRNA-Ala
Rfam family: tRNA
About the family: Transfer RNA (tRNA) molecules are approximately 80 nucleotides in length. Their secondary structure includes four short double-helical elements and three loops (D, anti-codon, and T loops).
Source: RNAcentral